UUGAACGCUGGCGGCAGGCCUAACACAUGCAAGUCGAACGGUAACAGGAAGCAGCUUGCUGCUUCGCUGACGAGUGGCGGACGGGUGAGUAAUGUCUGGGAAACUGCCUGAUGGAGGGGGAUAACUACUGGAAACGGUAGCUAAUACCGCAUAACGUCGCAAGACCAAAGAGGGGGACCUUCGGGCCUCUUGCCAUCGGAUGUGCCCAGAUGGGAUUAGCUAGUAGGUGGGGUAACGGCUCACCUAGGCGACGAUCCCUAGCUGGUCUGAGAGGAUGACCAGCCACACUGGAACUGAGACACGGUCCAGACUCCUACGGGAGGCAGCAGUGGGGAAUAUUGCACAAUGGGCGCAAGCCUGAUGCAGCCAUGCCGCGUGUAUGAAGAAGGCCUUCGGGUUGUAAAGUACUUUCAGCGGGGAGGAAGGUGUUGAGGUUAAUAACCUCAGCAAUUGACGUUACCCGCAGAAGAAGCACCGGCUAACUCCGUGCCAGCAGCCGCGGUAAUACGGAGGGUGCAAGCGUUAAUCGGAAUUACUGGGCGUAAAGCGCACGCAGGCGGUCUGUCAAGUCGGAUGUGAAAUCCCCGGGCUCAACCUGGGAACUGCAUUCGAAACUGGCAGGCUAGAGUCUUGUAGAGGGGGGUAGAAUUCCAGGUGUAGCGGUGAAUGCGUAGAGAUCUGGAGGAAUACCGGUGGCGAAAGGCGGCCCCCUGGACAAAGACUGACGCUCAGGUGCGAAAGCGUGGGGGAGCAAACAGGAUUAGAUACCCUGGUAGUCCACGCCGUAAACGAUGUCGACUUGGAGGUUGUGCCCUUGAGGCGUGGCUUCCGGAGCUAACGCGUUAAGUCGACCGCCUGGGGAGUACGGCCGCAAGGUUAAAACUCAAAUGAAUUGACGGGGGCCCGCACAAGCGGUGGAGCAUGUGGUUUAAUUCGAUGCAACGCGAAGAACCUUACCUACUCUUGACAUCCAGAGAACUUUCCAGAGAUGGAUUGGUGCCUUCGGGAACUCUGAGACAGGUGCUGCAUGGCUGUCGUCAGCUCGUGUUGUGAAAUGUUGGGUUAAGUCCCGCAACGAGCGCAACCCUUAUCCUUUGUUGCCAGCGGUUCGGCCGGGAACUCAAAGGAGACUGCCAGUGAUAAACUGGAGGAAGGUGGGGAUGACGUCAAGUCAUCAUGGCCCUUACGAGUAGGGCUACACACGUGCUACAAUGGCGCAUACAAAGAGAAGCGACCUCGCGAGAGCAAGCGGACCUCAUAAAGUGCGUCGUAGUCCGGAUUGGAGUCUGCAACUCGACUCCAUGAAGUCGGAAUCGCUAGUAAUCGUGGAUCAGAAUGCCACGGUGAAUACGUUCCCGGGCCUUGUACUCACCGC
Molecule: ribosomal RNA, 1375 nt
Filed under: uncultured bacterium
Lineage: Bacteria
Description: bacterial SSU rRNA
Rfam family: Bacterial small subunit ribosomal RNA
Source: RNAcentral